AGUGAAUAGAUACCCUGGUAGUCCUAGCCGUAAACGAUACUCGCUAGGUGUCGGCCACGGUGCGACCGUUGUCGGUGCCGUAGGGAAAGCCGUGAAGCGAGCCACCUGGGAAGUACGGCCGCAAGGCUGAAACUUAAAGGAAUUGGCGGGGGAGCACCACAACGGGUGGAGCUUGCGGUUUAAAUUGGAUUCAACGCCGGAAAUCUUACCGGGACCGACAGCAAUAUGAAGGCCAGGCUGAAGACUUUGCCGGAUUAGCUGAGAGGUGGUGCAUGGCCGUCGUCAGUUCGUACUGUGAAGCAUCCUGUUAAGUCAGGCAACGAGCGAGACCCACGCCCACAGUUGCCAGCGUACUCUCCGGAGUGACGGGUACACUGUGGGGACCGCCGCUGCUAAAGCGGAGGAAGGAAUGGGCAACGGUAGGUCAGUAUGCCCCGAAUAUCCCGGGCUACACGCGAGCUACAAUGGUUGGUACAAUGGGUAUCUACCCCGAAAGGGGUAUGGAAAUCUCCUAAAGCCAAUCUUAGUUCGGAUUGAGGGCUGCAACUGCCCUC
Molecule: ribosomal RNA, 554 nt
Filed under: uncultured bacterium
Lineage: Bacteria
Description: bacterial SSU rRNA
Rfam family: Archaeal small subunit ribosomal RNA
Source: RNAcentral